GGCCGGGUCCCGUGCGACGGGCAUCCGCGAACCAGGUCAGGACCGGGAGGUAGCAGCCUUCAGCGGCACCGUCCGUGCGCCGCGGGGAGCCUGGCCGUC
Molecule: signal recognition particle RNA, 99 nt
Filed under: Actinomycetota bacterium
Lineage: Bacteria; Bacillati; Actinomycetota
Description: signal recognition particle sRNA small type
Rfam family: Bacterial small signal recognition particle RNA
About the family: The signal recognition particle (SRP) is a universally conserved ribonucleoprotein involved in the co-translational targeting of proteins to membranes. Archaeal SRP consists of a 7S RNA and homologues of the eukaryotic SRP19 and SRP54 proteins.
Source: RNAcentral